This 465-nucleotide ribosomal RNA is filed under the name Vreelandella stevensii. RNAcentral's name for it is "partial 16S ribosomal RNA". It matches the Rfam family "Bacterial small subunit ribosomal RNA", at positions 338 to 795 of the family's 1533-position model. Lineage: Bacteria; Pseudomonadati; Pseudomonadota; Gammaproteobacteria; Oceanospirillales; Halomonadaceae. The record is from RNAcentral.
CCUACGGGGGGCUGCAGUGGGGAAUAUUGGACAAUGGGCGAAAGCCUGAUCCAGCCAUGCCGCGUGUGUGAAGAAGGCCUUCGGGUUGUAAAGCACUUUCAGUGGGGAAGAAAGCCUUGGGGCUAAUACCCUCGAGGAAGGACAUCACCCACAGAAGAAGCACCGGCUAACUCCGUGCCAGCAGCCGCGGUAAUACGGAGGGUGCGAGCGUUAAUCGGAAUUACUGGGCGUAAAGCGCGCGUAGGCGGUCUGAUAAGCCGGGUGUGAAAGCCCCGGGCUCAACCUGGGAACGGCAUCCGGAACUGUCAGGCUAGAGUGCAGGAGAGGAAGGUAGAAUUCCCGGUGUAGCGGUGAAAUGCGUAGAGAUCGGGAGGAAUACCAGUGGCGAAGGCGGCCUUCUGGACUGACACUGACGCUGAGGUGCGAAAGCGUGGGUAGCAAACAGGAUUAGAUACCCGGGUAGUC